ACUGUAUGAACUGACAGUAGAAUAUUAUUGAAAUGAUAUUUUAAAAUAUCAUCCAUGUCUACCCCCAUUUUAUGAAUCUAAUUACAUUUUAAUUAUCGUUUUAAAAUUUGUCACGGCGCAACAAGGAUAACCAAUCAGAGACUGUGAUCAAAGAGAUGUCAAUCAUUUGCACACAUGCACUACGCACACGCAGCCUCAUGGGGACACACAGUAGCUUUUCGCAAUAGAAGAUUAUUAUAGUUUCUUGGCCAGAUUUUUUAUUUUUUUCAUUUUUUUUGUCCUGUGUGGCUGUCAAGCAGAAAGGAAUAUCUAUAUCCUUUUUAUGCCGGAACAAUUUUACUGUGUCGCAGUGAACUUUUUAAGCCGCCACUGUGGUUUCUUUGUAUUCUGAUGGAUAUUUAUUGAGAAUUAUAGUCGUUCAGUCAAACAGAACAUCGUUUUUAAAGGGGAGUGACGGGGAAAAAAACAAAGGAGAGAGAGUGAAAAUAAUAUAGGAAAAGAAGACAACAAAAGACAAAGCACUAGCACAGGGACAGGAGGGGAAGCAUGCAGGACAAGGGUUCAUGGACCCGGCUCUACAACUGAAGUGUGGUGGGAGGGGCUAUGUAAAUUAAAAACCUCUGUAGGACCAGAGUGAAAGUGAGGGGAUACCCAAGAAAUUUGCAUAGUCAUGUUAUUUGUCGCAAUGAGUGAGUGGCCCCACACCCAGCGAAUAAGUCCCAGGGCUGUGUGUCUGCAGACACAUGCAAGUGAAUUGACACCGUUUAGCAUGCACAAUAACCGUCAGAAGUGUCCUGUAUUUGCUGUGCCUGCACCGCGAGGGUUGAGGACCCCACCCCACCCUAUCGGGAGGCGGGGUCGGGUCCAGGGAUCCACCCGAGAGCGGCCCGGUGGACGGGACACCUCCCACACCGAGGGAUCCAGGGUACUCCAACGGCUCCACUGAGGCGCCGCGAAAACCGGCCACCCACAGGAGGCUGCAGGGACCCAAUGACAGCCAACCCCCCCACUCCCAGGAGAGCGAGACCCCCCCCCCCCCCCCCCCAACCCAAUGCCCUUCAGAGAUAGGUGUGUGUCGUGCAUUAAAAGAAAGGGAAUGAGUUUAAUGCAUUAAAAUCUUGGGGGGCAGGCAGGGCGGAGGAGCAGGGCGUCUAGACCGGGAAACGGCACUGAUGUACAGAAACCCGGUUAGAAACCCGCACUCUCCCGACCCCACACCAGCCCCCCAAGAAACCCUGGAUAUGUGUGUGUGUGAAAAACAUUUUCAGUGAAUGGAUGCGAGUGUGUGCUAAGUGAGUGAUUAAGAGGCAUGGCCUCUGCAGGUCGGGCCCAUUCCAAAGCCAGAUUAUUUAACCCUGAUUAACAACAAAAAUUCAAAAUAGGAAUUGGACAGCUCUCAAGACAAAUCGAGUGUAAACGUAUAAUGUUGGUGUCCCAUACGAUUACGGCUCUCGAUGGCUGGGGUUGGAAAACCAAAGCCAACGUUACCAUUCGCACUGGGUCAUCAGCUCAGUGUCAUGAGCUGCCCUGCAGUUCUACCGUUGGAGCCUGGGUGGCGCUUUGCGCCCUCUCGCUCUCUGUCGCCCCUCCCCUCUCUCUUUCCAGCACCUUCCUCGGCCGGGCACCUGUCACCAAUCAGCCCUCGUUUCCACCUGCUUUUAAGCCUGCCUGAACCCGGAAAAGCUUGCCAGAGUAUUGACGCGUCUGCUGCGUGUUCCCUAUCAAGUGGAUUCCUGUCACCACCCCAACAAGCCAGCCGCCUGUCACACAUUCUCUGCCUCAACAACCACCAGCACAGCUCAAGGGCCCUCCCCAUUACCCUUUUUUUCAAUAAACUUAUUAUUAUUACAACC
Long non-coding RNA from Phyllopteryx taeniolatus (common seadragon), 1853 nucleotides. RefSeq lists it as uncharacterized. The transcript is spliced from 2 exons. Lineage: Eukaryota; Metazoa; Chordata; Actinopteri; Syngnathiformes; Syngnathidae. The record is from RefSeq and is a predicted model, not a curated record.